This 568-nucleotide long non-coding RNA is filed under the name Vigna radiata. RNAcentral describes it as "long non-coding RNA (VRAD_LNC009299)". Lineage: Eukaryota; Viridiplantae; Streptophyta; Magnoliopsida; Fabales; Fabaceae. The record is from RNAcentral.
GAGAAAUGAAGAUGGAAGAGAGUUACACACUCGUGUGCUUUCUCCAUCUCUCCAAUAUUAAAUCAUGAUUGAAGGAGACUCAAGCAGUGCUCACUUCUCGUAACUCUGUCAUCAGGUUCAACAUUUUGGCUGUGCUCUCAUCUUAUCUUUUUAAUUAAUCAUACAACCAUACUUUCUAUAUAUACUCUUUUUAAUUGUUCUAGUUUUUACAGUGUUUUCUCUUCAACCAGAUCUCAAUGUAUUUCUACAGACUCUCAUAUUUCUAAUGCUCUAUGAUCCUGCACUCUUGUGCAUAUGUACCAUGUUCUUGCUAUGUGUACCACAGCUUAUAAUGAGUGAAUAAAAUAUGUUUAUUUUGGUUCACUGAAGAUGUUUUAUUUUUGGUAAGUAAUGUGUAAUGGGUUAGUUGGGAUAUUUAAUGAUUUUCCACAAUAUAUACAUCCUUUUAAUAAAAGGGGGUCUAAUUAAAAUGUAUAGGUCAAAUGUAUAUGGGAUUUUAUGUUUGUCCCCUUUAGUUUUUGGACUAUUUUGGUUGGGUUGCACCUCUUUAUAUACCAUUAUAUCACAG